UAAAAAAGGUAAAAGUGCAAUAAGUAGUCCAUAAGAAAUAGAUUCAACACAGAUCCAAGAUUGCUGCUUUUGGAUGGCACAACUAGCCAUUGUUCCCGCAGUCCAUGUUGUCUGCCUGACACUAAGUAGUCCAUAAGAAACUGCUCUUACACACCGUACCUACUAGCCAUAGUUGCCGCAGCCCCUGUUUCCUCACACUAAGUAUUCCAUAAGAAACUGCCGUUACACACCGUGCCUAUGCCUAAAUUUCUGCCUUUGGAAAGAUGUGCUGCUGCU
RNAcentral lists this small RNA (276 nucleotides) under Drosophila willistoni. RNAcentral's name for it is "GK28194". The record is from RNAcentral. Lineage: Eukaryota; Metazoa; Arthropoda; Insecta; Diptera; Drosophilidae.